GAUGAACGCUGGCGGCGUGCUUAACACAUGCAAGUCGAACGGGAAAUAUUUCAUUGAGACUUCGGUGGAUUUGAUCUAUUUCUAGUGGCGGACGGGUGAGUAACGCGUGGGUAACCUGCCUUAUACAGGGGGAUAACAGUCAGAAAUGGCUGCUAAUACCGCAUAAGCGCACAGAGCUGCAUGGCUCGGUGUGAAAAACUCCGGUGGUAUAAGAUGGGCCCGCGUUGGAUUAGCUUGUUGGUGGGGUAACGGCCCACCAAGGCGACGAUCCAUAGCCGGCCUGAGAGGGUGAACGGCCACAUUGGGACUGAGACACGGCCCAGACUCCUACGGGAGGCAGCAGUGGGGAAUAUUGCACAAUGGGGGAAACCCUGAUGCAGCGACGCCGCGUGAAGGAAGAAGUAUCUCGGUAUGUAAACUUCUAUCAGCAGGGAAGAUAGUGACGGUAC
Molecule: ribosomal RNA, 449 nt
Filed under: uncultured bacterium
Lineage: Bacteria
Description: bacterial SSU rRNA
Rfam family: Bacterial small subunit ribosomal RNA
Source: RNAcentral